CAGUCGCCGCGGUAAUACGAAGGGUGCAAGCGUUACUCGGGAUUACUGGGCGUAAAGCGUGCGUAGGUGGUGGUUUAAGUCUGCUGUGAAAGCCCUGGGCUCAACCUGGGAAUUGCAGUGGAUACUGGGUCACUAGAGUGCGGUAGAGGGUAGUGGAAUUUCCGGUGUAGCAGUGAAAUGCGUAGAGAUCGGAAGGAACAUCUGUGGCGAAGGCGACUACCUGGGCCAGCACUGACACUGAGGCACGAAAGCGUGGGGAGCAAACAGGAUUAGAUACCCCUGUAGUCCCUGUCUCUUAUAC
This 301-nucleotide ribosomal RNA is filed under the name uncultured bacterium. RNAcentral's name for it is "partial 16S ribosomal RNA". It matches the Rfam family "Bacterial small subunit ribosomal RNA", at positions 509 to 807 of the family's 1533-position model. The record is from RNAcentral.